UACGUAGGGGGCUAGCGUUGUCCGGAAUCAUUGGGCGUAAAGAGCGUGUAGGCGGUCCGGUAAGUCCGCUGUGAAAGUCGGGGGCUCAACCCUCGAAUGCCGGUGGAUACUGUCGGGCUAGAGUGCGGAAGAGGCGAGUGGAAUUCCCAGUGUAGAGGUGAAAUUCGUAGAUAUUGGGAAGAACACCGGUGGCGAAGGCGGCCAUCUGGACCGCAACUGACGCUGAGGCGCGAAAGCGUGGGGAGCAAACAGG
Molecule: ribosomal RNA, 253 nt
Filed under: uncultured bacterium
Lineage: Bacteria
Description: partial 16S ribosomal RNA
Rfam family: Bacterial small subunit ribosomal RNA
Source: RNAcentral